CCAGAAUCGUCAUACCGGACUUGCCUUGCGAGCUGUUGUGCAGGAGGGGAAGCUUUACCUUGAGCGCAUCAAUAGUCAACUCUAGGUGGAUGAAAGAUGUUCUUUAUAUCGACCUAAAGAAAUAUAACUAUCUUUGAGAUAUACAAUUUAUGCUUUAUAGAAAGGACUUGGUUGUGCACCUGAAGGAGAUUCUCCAGUUGGAUACCUGCAAAGCCAAAAUAAAAUAAAAUAUAAUUAAAUCAUUCUUUUUUUUUAAAAAAAAAUUUACAAGUUUGCAAAACCGAAAUAAAAUAAAAUAAAGCAGUUUUUUCUUUAAACCCUCUUUUAGUAUCUUCUUCGUAUUCUAUAUCCUCUCUUUUGGGCGUUUCUAGUUGGAAACAUAGAAAGCCGAAUUAGUCGAGAUUUUCC
Molecule: long non-coding RNA, 408 nt
Filed under: Solanum lycopersicum (tomato)
Lineage: Eukaryota; Viridiplantae; Streptophyta; Magnoliopsida; Solanales; Solanaceae
Description: long non-coding RNA (SLYC_LNC000857)
Source: RNAcentral